CACACGCACGCACGCGGGUACUUGAAUAACCAACGGCCAACAUCUUGCAUUGACUCCUCAUCCUCUCAGAAGCAGCACCAGACUGUAUCGCGGUGCUCUGACUGUAAACUUCACACCUGCAACAAGAGGAUUGUGGUGUUUAUACGUGUAAACGUGUAUAGACAAUACACUUACCACCGUUGUCUACCGCCAAGAGAUUCCGGUGAGCGGUCAAAGCCCGGAUUCUAUUUCCGCGAGACGACAAGGCGUGCAUAGGUUAUUAUCGCUCGUGGGCUUUUAGAACGAUAUAGGAAUGCUUGAUCUGACAUUUCAAUUUAUCACCGCACAAGAAAAAAGAGAUAUAGAAUUUCCAUUGCCAAUAACCUCGUUAUCAUCGCCUUCUUCCUCCAACACAAACAGUUGAUGCACGUGGUUCGUGUCUGUAGAUGCUCUGCUGUCUUGGCUCGUGCCAGGCAGGCUGCUUCACUCCCUUGGUGAGAAAAUGAGUGACUGUGGUGCUGAGAACACGUCACUGUGACUGUGGAGCUGAGAACACGUCACUGUGACUGUGGUGCUGAGAACACGUCACUGUGACUGUGGUGCUGAGAACACGUCACUGUGACUUUGGUGCUGAGAACACGUCACUGUGACUGUGGAGCUGAGAACACGUCACUGUGACUGUGGUACUGAGAACACGUCACUGUGACUGUGGAGCUGAGAACACGUCACUGUGACUGUGGUACUGAGAACACGUCACUGUGACUGUGGAGCUGAGAACACCUUCUGGAUAAAGGACCAUCCGAGACAUAUAUCUUUAAACACUUUACUUUUGUAACGGUACCAUAGCUUUUCGGAGCAAGCGAACUUAAAUCUGCAAAAUAAAUAAAAGGGGAUAAAAAAAAAAAAAACAGUUUUUUUGAAAAACAUCUACAAGGUUCUCGGCGAGCUCAAGGCGUAUAUCUGUCUAGACACUGACAGGUCUGCUCGUGGCGGUACCAGUCAAGCGGUAAGGUGCUCUGUUUCUCUUCACACAGGUGUAGGUGCGCGCUUAUCCAGGUGUCACCCAGUUCUAAACACACGCCAGGUAGAACUCACAGACUGCGCAGACAAACCGAGUUCAGCAGACUAUUCAGCAGCCGGGAAGAAAGUAAGACCGCUGUAACUACUGGACCAGUGGUGGGAGGAAGAGUAACAGUCGAUGUAAGUGUUGGGGGAGAACACAACAGUCAUGGCAUUCGGUGUCGCCACCAAAGAAGAGAGUUCCAGACAAAGUUCUUCGUGAAGGGAGGUACCUGCCUGAGUGUAGUUCUCACAAUCAGAUAUUUGUGGAUUGGAAACAGAGACUACAAGAUAGUGUAACGUGAAUGGUUCCAGAAGAGACGUCUGGAAGGUGGACGUGAGACCACCAGGUGGCGCGAGUGUGCAAAGCAGAUGAAUGAAGUGGGUGGGGACACUGCAGCGUGGACCCAACACUUGCCAGAAAGUCACCGCAGCAACAGUCAGUUCGAUUCUGAAGCUCGUGGAUCUCUGAAGUCGUCCUGACAACAAUGGUUUUUACUAUCUGUACAAAGCUUGGAGGUCGAAAAGCUCGUCACCAAUGCCACCACGGCCAACCCUCCCUAAACCAAGCAGCCAGGCUGAGCUCCCUUCAGACCGGUUACUACGAGACAGUUCGAGACCCAAAGCCAUUAGUGCUGCCCCCCAAGCAGCAAUUCCACCAUUUACAGACGACAUUUUCAUGGGAACCUUGCAGACCAUGAUAAUCUGCUCACCACUACAAACCAACGGUCGCGUCCAACUCUGACCUUUGGCCCUUUGAUGGAGACAAGUUCCAGCCAGACAAGCUGUACUGACCGUAACUCUCUUUGCCUGCUGCAAAAUGUGUCACUUCCUGUCUUUUGGUGGAGGUAAGUGGUAAAGAGGUCCAUGAGAUUACGCCCAGGGCAAGUUUCCGGAACCUGAGCUCGUCUUUCCUCUUAAAAAGAAGAAUUGCUUGCAGUCAAUUUAGUACCAUCGUAAGGGCCAUCUCGGUGGCUACACAAGGAGGUGGGGGUGGAACCGGUGGUCCCCUAAUAUUCCUAGUUUUGAAGACGGAAACUGCAAGGGUCGUUUGUGCUUUUGUGUGUAAAACUCCGGAUAAAGUCUAUAAUCCUUUGCCGUAUAUUCUCGUCCUCUAAUGACUAUAAACAAGAUUAUAGCUGAUUACAUAAGGAGCUUAAAGCACUAAUAAAUAAGAAAUAAUUUUAGGAGUAAUUGUUUCUUUAUGAGAACAGUAGAUGCAAAUGUGGGACAAAGAGAAAAUCAACAAAAAGACGAGCAUUUGUGUGGAUUAAUUUUUGCAGCGAAGCUCAGCUAAUGAUAAUGAUACUCUAGCGACUCAGUGCUGAUGAGCACUUGGGGGAAAUGAUCAGAGUAAGAAAGUGUGUGAUUUACACUUUAAAUGACUGAUUUACUGACUAACCAACUUGUGUUGCAAGGUUUUAGCAUAGCCAGCGCUUCAGCAAAGUCGCUUCCUGGUCAUGCGCCCUUACGCAAAGCGGAAGUGACGAAACUCAGGCAGGCGUCAACUCAUGUGACAGCCGCGCAAAUGCAUGUCUUCCGUUUGCGAAUACAACUUGUAAUUCGUCAUGAAGAAGACUCUCCUCGGGGUGUGGAGAGACAGGGUAAUUUGCUAAUCGUCAACAGAUUCAUUUUCCUCAUUAGUUCCCUUCUAGUUCUAAGGUUGCAGCAGACACAAGUCUCCCAGACUUCCCGAGAGACUGGCCUUGACACCAGAGUGACGUAACGGACCCAUGUCAGGCCCCUGCAGACGACAGCGACUCUCAAAAACUUGUGCUAAUGAAUGUUGUGGGACCAAGAUUAUGCAGCCGAGAGAAACCACACGCCUAGGACACGACCGAGGCAAGACUUUUCUGUUCCCUACUGAUUCGAUCAGUUUUGUGACCUCCAGGGUCAACAACGGUAAACAGGGUCUGUGCAUGGCGGGAUCCUCAAGGUGGGGGCAUCGAUAUAUGGA
Molecule: unclassified non-coding RNA, 2995 nt
Filed under: Pomacea canaliculata
Lineage: Eukaryota; Metazoa; Mollusca; Gastropoda; Architaenioglossa; Ampullariidae
Description: nociceptin receptor-like, transcript variant X1
Source: RNAcentral